This 421-nucleotide ribosomal RNA is filed under the name uncultured bacterium. RNAcentral describes it as "partial 16S ribosomal RNA". It matches the Rfam family "Bacterial small subunit ribosomal RNA", at positions 360 to 773 of the family's 1533-position model. The record is from RNAcentral.
AUUCUUGGACAAGGGUGGAAACCCUGAUCCAUCCUUGCCUCGUGUGUGAAGAUGGUCUUCGGAUUUUAAAGCACUUGACUUAGGGAGGAAGGGUCGUUGGCUAAUAUCCACCCAUUUUCACGUUACCGCCAGAAUAAGCAUCGGCGCACCCGGUCCCAGCAGCCUCGGUAAUACAGUGGGUCCAAGCGUUAAUCGGAAUUACUGGGCGUAAAGCGCGCGUAGGUGGUUCAGUAAGAUGGGUGUGAAAUCCCCGGGCUUAACCUGGGAACUGCUUUCAUAACUGCUGGGCUAGAGUACGGUAGAGGGUAGUGGAAUUUCCUGUGUAGCGGUGAAAUGCGUAGAUAUAGGAAGGAACACCAGUGGCGAAGGCGACUACCUGGACUAAUACUGACACUGAGGUGCGAAAGCGUGGGGAGCAAAC